Molecule: transfer RNA, 72 nt
Filed under: Silphopsyllus desmanae
Lineage: Eukaryota; Metazoa; Arthropoda; Insecta; Coleoptera; Leiodidae
Description: transfer RNA-Leu
Source: RNAcentral
AAUUAAUUUAUUACUUUGGCAGAAUAGUGCUUUAAAUUUAGAAUUUAAAUAUGUAAUUAGUUACAUGUAAUA